Molecule: ribosomal RNA, 59 nt
Filed under: Amanita griseoverrucosa
Lineage: Eukaryota; Fungi; Basidiomycota; Agaricomycetes; Agaricales; Amanitaceae
Description: partial 26S ribosomal RNA
Source: RNAcentral
UUGACCUCAAGUCAGGCAGGGACUACCCGCUGAACUUAAGCAUAUCAAUAAGCGGAGGA